Molecule: unclassified non-coding RNA, 398 nt
Filed under: Hevea brasiliensis (rubber tree)
Lineage: Eukaryota; Viridiplantae; Streptophyta; Magnoliopsida; Malpighiales; Euphorbiaceae
Source: RNAcentral
CCUAAAAGUAAAUGGGCAGGUAAAUGAGACUUCGAUGGAGUCAGUACCACUGGAGAAAAGCAAGAAAAGAGAAUCCAUCUUUGCUAUUGAUGUGGAAAUGCUAAAUAUAUCUGCGGAAGUUGGAGAUGGUGUUGAGAUGACUGUCCAGGUGCAGUCAAUCUUUUCUGAAAAUGCACGGAUCGGUGUGCUUCUAGAAGGUUUAAUGCUCAACCUUAAUAAUGCAAGAAUAUUUAGAAGUAGCAGAAUGCAAGUCUCUCGUAUUCCAAAUGCUUCUAGAAGUGCACCAACUUCAAAACAUGAGAUAGGCACAACAUGGGAUUGGGUUAUUCAAGCCCUUGAUGUCCACAUAUGCAUGCCAUACAGGUUGGAAUUGCGGGCCAUCGAUGAUUCUGUUGAGG